GGAUGUGAAGGUGAUCUGGCUGGCUUCCUCCUGAAGCUGCACACUGGGUGCAGGAGGGCUGACCACCUCCCACAGAGGGGACUGCUCCUCAGUCAAGGGUGUACUCGCAGCUGCACCCCCUGCCAGAACCUCCAAACAAGCUCUCAGAGUAAGUGCCUGCCUCAAAAUAAAAAUAAGUAAAUAUAAAACAAACAAAGGAACAUUUU
This 206-nucleotide small RNA is filed under the name Cavia porcellus (domestic guinea pig). RNAcentral describes it as "7SK RNA (ENSCPOG00000028838.2)". Lineage: Eukaryota; Metazoa; Chordata; Mammalia; Rodentia; Caviidae. The record is from RNAcentral.